Passer montanus (Eurasian tree sparrow) is the source of this 2686-nucleotide long non-coding RNA. RefSeq lists it as uncharacterized. The transcript has 2 exons. Lineage: Eukaryota; Metazoa; Chordata; Aves; Passeriformes; Passeridae. The record is from RefSeq and is a predicted model, not a curated record.
CAAACUCUGCUUCUCCCAGGGAGCCUCCCCAGCUGCCCAUGGCACUGACCCUACCAGGUGCAGUGUGUCAUUUUCCACCCCCUUGCCCUACAUGGAAAGGUGAGAUGAGAGCCAGACCCACCCCAUCAGAGCCUUGGAGACUGCACCAGGGAUAUGAGAUCCCACAUGGAACAGGAUGGAGGCUGGUCCACUGCUACAGGGAGCACCCACAGCCCUCUGAUUUCACCAAUGCUGAGAUACAGAGUUCCUGGAUGCCACAAGAACUUGUGCACUUCAAAAAAUCAAAAUCAGGUCAAGGUGUCAAGCUCUUGCUUGGUGCUUUCUGAGUCUAUGUCGUGACAUCUCUGCACAUCUCUGUGUUAGACCAGAGAGCUUUCAGCAGAAUCACUCCUUCCUAACAGGAGAAAUCUGCAGUGUUGUGAUAUCAGACUGCAUUUACCAUAUGCCACAUUUAAAUGCAGAAGUUUUCAUUGGCCCAGCAUUGAUCUGAAACAUGCUAAGCCUUUGGAAGGAAAAUAGAGAGAGAGAAAGAGAGAAAAAGAGAGGGGAAACAACCUCAUCCCUUUGACAAGUUACCUUACCAGCAACCAGCUUCCAGGAUCCUGGCAGACUGGGAGCUCUCCUAGGGGAGAGAAGGGGGUGCUGAGACCUGCACAUGAAAUGCAGUCCAUCACAUGGCAAUGCUCUUUAUCAUUCAUAUUCUACUCCUGUAUGGUUAGUAAAACCCACAGACACUGAAGUUGCACUUUAUCAGCAUGUUUCUGUUCCUGCACGUGACCAUCAUCAAAGAGCUCUGCCAGCAGCUAAAGCUAUGAACAAGAAAAAACUACCAAUAAUCCCAGGCUCUGUAGUUUUCUCUGAAGCAGCUUUGACAGGACUUGUUGAACAGACAAGAGAGCCCUGAAACUUUCAAGAUGAAAGCAGAAAUACAAGCAAAACUGUCAAACUUCAUUUGAGUUAACACCUCUAUUAAAUAUUGUGACCACCAGAAAUACUUUUCCAGAAAUGCAGGCACGAGACUAAAUACAUAACUGAAAGGCAUUGCUCCUGGACUGUAACCCCAGCUCUGCCACUGACUCUUUCAGUGAUUUCAUUUGGAGUAUUUAUCCCUUGGUCACACCACCUUCCCCACUGGCAAAUGAGCAUGAGGAUACUGAAUUUCCUGGGUGAAGCUGAGGCAAGCGUGUGUGUUCUGACAUCUGUUCCUAAGGCAAGUACCAUACUUGUGUAAAAUAAUCAAUAUGUUCUCCACAUGUUAAUUCCUGUCUCUAUUUUGCUAGUGCCAGCAACUCUGCUAUUUAUUUUAAUUGAGAAGCUUCAUACUCCUUUUUCCAUGGGUUCCCAAACCAUACUACACCUCGUGGGAAGCUGCUUCUAAUAAACGCCUGUAAAUCCAUCUCAUUCUUGAUUUAAAUCCUUACAUCACAGCAAUUCUGCCACCAUAAAACACGAUGAUGGUGAUGAUGAGGCAAGCUCGUGAGCUGACACCUCCUUGUGCUGUGCCAAAGCCAGCUGUGACUGCACUGCAAUGAAAUCACGAGCAGGAGGUGUCUGAAGCAGCACUCUCCACACAUGUGUGAGCCAGGGGGUUUCUGUACAGCACCAUCAGGAGAAGGCAGCCUCAGUCAGGGGAAGCUGAGAGCAGGUUUGAGACAAACCAGAGGAAGAAGUUUUCCACACAAUGCCAGCUGUGGAGGUCGUGACCACAUGAGCUCAAAAUGGGAUUAAACACUUUCACAGGGUCACAGGCUAUUAAAAUCAUCAGCUCAGAAAUGGGCUAACCUGCCAGUCAGUGUUCUGUCAGGGGAUAGACCACUGAACACAUGCCCUGCUCCCUGAUCCCUUCCUUCCAGCUCUUGUCACCAGCCACUUCCAGAGAGAACAUCAGUUUAGACAAACCUGUGCUCUCACCCAGUAGCAUACCCUUACAUUUUUAGGUAAGUUAGUAAGAAUUGGUUUUUGGCAAAAGAUUAUUCCUUCUGGCACAAUACCAUGGUAUAUUGCUUCUAGCUCAGUGGCAGCUUGCAGCAGGCUCAGUACCCCUGCACGCUGUUUCUUGCCUUGCUGAUACAUUUUAUUUAACAUGCACAUUAUAGGGAGCAGGACAUUUGUCCACUCCUGUUUAUUGAAUGCUCAAGAUGACUCUGUGUCAGUACUAGAUCCUAAGGUGAGCUGUCAGAGAGCCCCUGUGGAGCAAACACAUGGAGGCCCAGCCUCCAGCCCCCUCCAUCCAUCACCCCAGGUUAGCUGAUAUGAUAAACAACGUAAAUAGAAACGACUUGUUCUGAGCAAUAGCUGUUAAACCAAUAAACAUCCAAAACUCUGGAGAAAAAACACUGCUUUUCCUCAUUUAUCAAACAAGACUCUGUAUCUAUUUUUUUUCUCCCUCUUCUUAAACAAGUUCAGUUUGUAAAGAUUGAAGGAAAACAAGACAUCCUUUCAAAUGCCUCCUUUGGAUCAAACCUCAUUGGGUUUUGAUGUCAAUGGUGCAUAGAAGGGUGACCACUGCCAGCACAAGUAUUUGGCAGCAGGGCUGUUACAUAAUACAAUCCUGUCUUUCACAGGAGAGAGAUCUCUGUGCUACUCAAUGUGCUAAAAUUUAACCCACUGCUUUGCUCCAUCCAGCCAAAACAACCUUGUACAUUUUUCCAUAGCACUAAACGAUGGCUAUUAAAAAAAAAAAAAA